GAAGAGGGAUUUCCUUUCUGACAUAUUCUGCACCACUCAUCUCCAGAUUCGAUCGAUGCAUUGCUUCCUGCAUACUUUCUGACAUGUCCAUUGGAUCUACAUCAAUGACGGCAUUACUAAGACUGUUGGCGUAAAGGUUUUCUCCAACUCUAUUAUCAACAUUAGCAAAGAAAUUGCCCAAGUCCGUCGAUCUUGACCCACCCUUGGAAGCUAUAGCAGCAGCUCUUGAAUCACCAGUAUCUUGUUCAAGAAUCUCAAUUUUUGAACCAGCUCUAGAUGUGUCUGCGGAACUUAAAGACGAUUCAAGGUCUAUUACAGAAUUUUUAUGUACAGGGGAAAGGGAAAUAGGCCUCAACAACAUGUGAUUCUGCUGCUUUCCAUCCAAGGACUGAAAUGCAAUAACUUGGAUUCUCCCGACCUUCUGUGCAUCUUCACUAAAACAUGAAAAUAUCAACCCAAUAAACCCAGCAUCCAGAAGUUGAUACAUGGCUUGAGUGCGGACAUCAACAUGGGAAGGGAGCACUGUAAUGUGGGGAUGUGAAUGGUACCAGCCAAUCACUCUUGUUGUUCUUCCUGUUGCCAGGGUCAUUCUCUCAGCCUUGACUGAUGCAGCAGUUAGCUGCUCAGGAUUGGUCUCAACACGAUCUUUCCUCCUGUCACAACGUGGCUGUGGCAGUGCUCCCCAUAUAAGUGCAGUCACGCUACCAUUUUUUGACUGCUGAGUAUCACCGAGGAGAAGUCCCAUUAUCUCUUCAGUUUCUGUAGACAAUGCAUGACUAAGACAUGUUAACCACACUUCCUCCGUCAUUUUCACACUCGUUAGAGCCAUUUCUCUGUUCUAAAUCUCCUCAAUUCCAGUGUAAGCAGAUGAAUUUUCGGGUAUAAUUAUUGUGUAAUUUUUCUUUCAAUUUUCCUUUUCCAGUAGCGACCUCUCCGAAG
RNAcentral lists this unclassified non-coding RNA (939 nucleotides) under Hevea brasiliensis (rubber tree). The record is from RNAcentral. Lineage: Eukaryota; Viridiplantae; Streptophyta; Magnoliopsida; Malpighiales; Euphorbiaceae.